CGGACCUGGCCCGGGGGUACUCUAGAGAUAGAGUUUGAUCCUGGCUCAGAUUGAACGCUGGCGGCAGGCCUAACACAUGCAAGUCGAGCGGCAGCACGGGAAGCUUGCUUCCUGGUGGCGAGCGGCGGACGGGUGAGUAAUGCAUAGAAAUCUGCCCGGUAGUGGGGGAUAACCUGGGGAAACCCAGGCUAAUACCGCAUACGUCCUACGGGAGAAAGCAGGGGCUCUUCGGACCUUGCGCUAUCGGAUGAGUCUAUGUCGGAUUAGCUUGUUGGUGAGGUAAUGGCUCACCAAGGCGACGAUCCGUAGCUGGUCUGAGAGGAUGAUCAGCCACAUCGGGACUGAGACACGGCCCGAACUCCUACGGGAGGCAGCAGUGGGGAAUAUUGGACAAUGGGCGAAAGCCUGAUCCAGCCAUGCCGCGUGUGUGAAGAAGGCCUUCGGGUUGUAAAGCACUUUCAGUGGGGAAGAAAGCCUUGGGGCUAAUACCCUCGAGGAAGGACAUCACCCACAGAAGAAGCACCGGCUAACUCCGUGCCAGCAGCCGCGGUAAUACGGAGGGUGCGAGCGUUAAUCGGAAUUACUGGGCGUAAAGCGCGCGUAGGCGGUCUGAUAAGCCGGUUGUGAAAGCCCCGGGCUCAACCUGGGAACGGCAUCCGGAACUGUCAGGCUAGAGUGCAGGAGAGGAAGGUAGAAUUCCCGGUGUAGCGGUGAAAUGCGUAGAGAUCGGGAGGAAUACCAGUGGCGAAGGCGGCCUUCUGGACUGACACUGACGCUGAGGUGCGAAAGCGUGGGUAGCAAACAGGAUUAGAUACCCUGGUAGUCCACGCCGUAAACGAUGUCGACUAGCCGUUGGGCUCCUUGAGAGCUUUGUGGCGCAGUUAACGCGAUAAGUCGACCGCCUGGGGAGUACGGCCGCAAGGUUAAAACUCAAAUGAAUUGACGGGGGGCCCGCACAAGCGGUGGAGCAUGUGGUUUAAUUCGAUGCAACGCGAAGAACCUUACCUACCCUUGACAUCGUGCGAACUUUCCAGAGAUGGAUUGGUGCCUUCGGGAGCGCAAAGACAGUGCUGCAUGCUGUCGUCAGCUCGUGUUGUGAAUUUUGGUUAAGUCCGUACGAGCGCACCUUGUCCUUAUUUGCAGCCGCGUAUGCGGACUUCUUAAGGAGAACUGCGUACACGAGAGGUGGGACGCAGUCAGUCAUCAUGGCUACGUUAGCCUAACACACGUGUCUUCACCAUUGGGCCGGUAUAACAAAGGUAUC
This 1264-nucleotide ribosomal RNA is filed under the name uncultured bacterium. Its description in RNAcentral is "bacterial SSU rRNA". It matches the Rfam family "Bacterial small subunit ribosomal RNA", at positions 1 to 1254 of the family's 1533-position model. The record is from RNAcentral.